GAGACUUCAGGUCAGGCGGGGCUACCCGCUGAAUU
Molecule: ribosomal RNA, 35 nt
Filed under: Lathyrus multijugus
Lineage: Eukaryota; Viridiplantae; Streptophyta; Magnoliopsida; Fabales; Fabaceae
Description: Lathyrus pannonicus subsp. multijugus partial 25S ribosomal RNA
Source: RNAcentral